Molecule: long non-coding RNA, 1167 nt
Filed under: Macaca fascicularis (crab-eating macaque)
Lineage: Eukaryota; Metazoa; Chordata; Mammalia; Primates; Cercopithecidae
Description: lncRNA (ENSMFAG00000059932.1)
Source: RNAcentral
GGGGCAGUCGUUGAGAGGGCGGCCUUGGCGUUAGGAGUGUGUCGGCUGCACCCUGGCGGACGGACCUUGGGAAGGAGGGGAGGGACCGUCGGGGUCGGCGGGGAGCUACGGGUUCCCCUCUUCCAAGAUGGGUGCCAAAUGACGAGUAUCAGGUGUCUAUGGCAAGAUUUGGGGAGGAUCCCAGACCUUAACAGCCCUUUGGUUGAAUCCUCUCACAAUGUGGCAGGGCCUCUCUCCAAGUCUGGACUGUGCCUUUUGAUUGGAACAUCUCUGUCAGCCCCAGGGUCUGCAUCACACGUGGUCUGCGUCUGUGCACAUGGCUGCUGUCUCUUUUUAGCAGUGACAUCACCCUGCCUGGUACUGUUGUUUAUGAGGCCGUCUCCCCACCUGGCUGGGGGCCACUGCUUUGGCCAUUCAGAGUGGAAUUCCUUUGUCUUUCAGCCUCUAGCACAGGCCUGGGCCAGCAUUGCUGCUCAGGAAAUGCCUGUGGAAUCAAAGUGGGGACUGUCCCAGGUGUUGAGGAUUUACUGUGUGCUAGGCCUGUCCCUGACACUUUAUAUGUGUUAUCUCAUUUACACCCCCACAGUCAUCCUGGGAGGGAGAAGUUACCCUAUUUUACUGAGAAGAAACAGAGUGAUUGAAGUUGGGCUUUGCCUUAGGCCCACUUGUGAUGAUUGAUGGCACCAGGGCCAACUCUAGGGUCAGUGCCCUGGUCGUGUUUGAGGUGUGUGGGCUGAAAAAGGGGAGACACACUUCAAGGCCCCUGGGAUCCUCAGAAACCUUCUACUAACAGGUUCCUAGUUUGGCUCUGAUUUCAUCCGUGAGGACACAGAAGCCUAGAAAGGGGAGAUAACUUAAUUAUAGACCCUCUUCUCCACUUGUUAUGUACUUAUGUAUCCACUUAAUUUUGGCAGGAUGGGUCUGUUUUGAUUCACCAUUGCACCACCCAUGUAACCCAGUACCUGAUCCAGGUUGACGCCCAGUAAAUACUUUCACAUUUUAUUUAUUAUGAAAACACUGAGAAAUGUAUAAAAAUUAAUAGAACAAAUACCUGUGUACCUACCAUCCAGCUUGCAAAAUGAAACACUGCUAAUGUAGAUAAAGACCUUUUUGUUUCCCUCUAUGACUGACCCCCAAACCAAGAAAUAAAGACUCUCCUGAUUUGGU